UAAAAAUAUGUGCCAUUUUUAAUUAUUUCUUUAUCAGAGCACAGAUUUUAAUAGCCCAUUGGUGGUUCCACCUACUGGGUUAGAGCUGCGCAGAAAAGUCUAUGUUGAAGUAAAAGCUGCCAAUCUGACUGGAAAUUUUCAUCUCUUGCUGGACCACUGUUUUGCAACCCCAUCACCUUAUAAUCACACCAACAUCAAACAGCACAGCUUUUUCACAGGAUGUGUGGUACAGAUCCGGACAAUGGUGCUUUAUAAUGGCCUCUCCAAGUUUUCCAGAUUUUCAUUUGAAGCCUUCCGCUUUGUGGAGCACCGUAAUCAAGAAAUGUCUACUAUAUACCUGCACUGCAUACUGCGACUCUGCGAACCAAACAAGUGCCAAGAACUACUUGAUUCUUGCAACUCUACCAGAACACGAAGGCGAAGGGCCCUAGAACCUUACGGAUCGCCAGCUAAAGAUUCUGCCACAGUGUCUGUGGGUCCUCUGUACACCGCAGCCCUAAGUAAGUCAGUCGCAUACACACAUGAAUCCAGAAUGAGACCAGUCUGAGACCCAGCUUAUUGU
RNAcentral lists this long non-coding RNA (562 nucleotides) under Sinocyclocheilus anshuiensis. RNAcentral describes it as "lncRNA (ENSSANG00000038335.1)". The record is from RNAcentral. Lineage: Eukaryota; Metazoa; Chordata; Actinopteri; Cypriniformes; Cyprinidae.